GGCGGGAGGGACGCGGGAGCCGCCGAGCCGGGCCCCAGGGGGCGGGGAGCGGAAUUUGAAGAGCCGCGGGGCCCGCAGCGUGCGCCGGGAGGGACGCGAAGCCUCGCGCAGCUCGCCUCCCGAAUUUGCACGAAGUUCUGCAGCAAAGCACCGUCACGGUAUCGGCUCGAGAGUCCCGCCGCACAAGCUGGUGCAAAGUGCAGGAACAGCUGGGCCCCGCAGCUGCACGAGGGAGAGACGGCGACAGAAAUGAAAAGGGAAACAAUGUAGCGAGCAGAGCGAAUAAACUACAAAGGGCAGCACCGAGAGAAUGGUGAAGAGCAAGGGCAGUAGAAGGGCACCGAUUAAAGAAAAAUGCAAGUGGGGGAGGAACGGUAGCCGGGAACUGGAAGCCGGACGCCCACCCUGGCGGAGCGGGAAAGACAAGAAUUUAGUGAUGCAUUGAUUAUCUCUGCCACCCUCCUCCCCUUUCUGCCUUCCGUGCCGUCCUAGUCCUCAAUGUUGCCUUUCAGUGCUUAAAAAGUAUUUGCUGAUCGGAAAUAAACGAUUAAGAAUUAGUUGAACAUGUUUAACAUUGUGCAUAACACUAACGUUUCAAGGUCAUGCUCCCCAAACAAGAAGCCUUUUAUCGUACUGUUUGUACGUAAAGAGAGAAAUGCAUCGAUCAGAGAGAAGAAGACCUAGUGAAAGUUUGUUUUCUGAGGACUGGUAAAUAUACAAACGGCACACAUCCGUUCUUGUUUGGACUCCAAGAUGAUCUGAUAAUGAGAGACGAUCACAGCUUAUAAAUUAUAAAUAUCACAGCUGUUGAACAGGCUAUUUUUGUUCAUUCUUGGGAUCAUCUUUCUUGCUGACGAGGAGUAUCAUUUAAGAAUCACUCUACCUAGCUGGCAAUUUGGAGAAAAUAGUUAUUUCUGAUGCUGAACCUUCCUUUGGUUAAGGGUCACUCCUGCAGUAUCCCUUCAAGCUAGUAAAAACAAAAAACAAAACACAAAAAAAACCAAGAUACCUGUUUUUGCUUUUGAGAUAUAAGAUGUCUGUUUCUGGUUGUGGUAGACCCCGGAAAGAGGUUGAAAAGUCUGUUAGAUUGCUUUCCUGAAUCAAAAUGAAGGCAGAUAAUAGAAAUUUGAAAGCAUUUUACGUGCUCUCUUACCUACUCACUGAUAAUUACAACUUAAGUGAUUAUGUACCUCUUAACUGUGAUCCUUACCUAACAACCGUGAACUACCAUGUGGCUUUAUUAUUAUGUCAGCAAGUAAAUGAUAUUUUGUUGAUUAAAAAUUUCAUUUAAACACAUUUGACUGCCAUAAAAGAAAUUUGUGAUUGGCCCCAUUUUAUAGAUGAUAAAAUUUAGUUUCUCACUUUCUGAUUUGCCCAAGGCUAAUCCGCUAAAGAGGCAGGCAGACUUAGAGCUUGCAUCCAGUUCUGACUUGUCCUCUUUCAACUACACCACAGCUGCCAAAGAAAAACAAAUGAAUAUGAUGCUCUAAGAACAUUUAAUAUUUUUACAAUUCUACUCCCAUUCUCAUAGUUAUUAUUUGUAGAGCAGGCCCAGGAUGUAUACUUUAAGCUUAUAUUUUUAGCUGUCUUCCUAUUUCUGCUGGGCUGCAGGAUGGAAUGCUAAGGGGCGAGAAGAGUGCGGAAGCGCUGUUGUGGCACCAAGCAGUUUUCUAUUGCCCAUACAUUUCAAGUGCGAUUGCCUAUUGCCUCAUCCUACCCGGCAGUACUUGCAGGUCUCACCCCCACUAUCAGAGAUGUUGUGGUAAAUAUCAUAUUCCCUGUUCUAUUAUUUUUCAGUGAUGUUACAGUGCCCUGUAUUCUUUAAUACCAAUCUCUAUGAGCAGUGCCCCAGGCAGCCAUUCAGUCCUUAAUCCCGAUCCAGCUGUUAUUGUUUUCCCCACUGGUACUGGGUCCUUCAAAUACUCUAAAGCAGGACCUGAAUAAGAGAAUAAUGGAGUGCCGCUAAACUAAUAUGCUAUGCUAGAUUCCACUGGUAUUCUCAAUAACCAAGCCUUCAAGACUGCUCAGAGUCACCUUCUCUGGGAGACUGCCCUACUCUGACUACCUUAUUUAACAUUGUACUUACAGCUCACCCACACUCCCUGCCCUGCACUCUCUAUUCUCCUAACCUUGCUCAGCUGUUUUCCAUGGCAUGUACUAUUUCAUUUCCUUGUUUAUUAUGUUUUUGUUUUGUCUGUCUUUCCCAACUAGAAUGUAAGUUUCAUAAGAGAGAGGAUUUUGUUUUGUUUUCUGUUUUGCUCACUGACAGAUCCUUAGCUCCCAGAACAGUGCCUGGCAAAUUACAGGCACUCAAAUGGACUUAGGUUGUGUGGCACCUGAAGUUUAUAUAAUGAAGGAGACCUGUUUAAGGAAAAAAAAAUACAAGACUGGGUAUGAAAGCGAAUAUUUAUUUGAAAUGAGAGGACAUAACUACAAAUUGUUUUUAAAGCUGACAACACAAAAAUCGCUAAAUCCGGAAACAUAGCAUAUUUUUUAAAUUGACAUAUUAAAUACAAAGCAUACUUUUCCAUCUCAGUAGUCAUUAGAGAGGUUGAAAGUUGGCAUAAGGGAGAACGUGUAGGACCUUCUAGAUUCAUGCUAGGGUGUUUCUGUGAUUGCUCUCCAGAUUAAAAUAAGAAAAGUUGGGCAUUUAGUGAUUAAUGAACUGUGUUGAUGUUGUCUUUUAUUCAUUAUGAGUUUAAUAACUAUUUUAAUUUUUAUUGUGAAAAAUGUCAAACAUACAUCAAAGGAGUAGAAAUAACCCCCACCCUUGAUUAUCAGCACUGUUAACAUUUACGAAUCUAUAUUUGUACUUCUUCAUUUGUUUGUUUUCUGGGGUGUUUUAAAGCAAAUAACCAGAUGAAAUAUUUCACUGAUAAUUAGUGUAUAGCUCUAACAGAUAAGGGCUCUUUUUAGCGUCACCAUACUACCACUAGCACAUGUAACAAAAUUAGCAAUAAUUCCUUACUAUCUUGGAAUUCCCACUCUACUCAAUUUUCCUCCAUUGACUUAAAAAUGUAAUUUUACAUUUGCUUUAUACUAAUCAAGAUUUUAAAAGUCUACAGUUAGCUUUUUUGUUGAUAUGGAUCUUAUAUUUCUUUUAAUCUGUAAUGAUCUGCCCCCCCUUUUUAAAUGUCAUUCAUCUGUUGAAAAAUUGGGUCAUUUUACCUGUUGAAUAUCCCAAACCCUCUUGGAUUUAGCUCAAUAAUUAUUCUUGAUCAUAAGCAGUACUGUAGUAUUAUAGACAAAGCACAAUAUUUAGAAACAAAAAUCCUGAGUUAUACUCCAGCUUAGCCACUUGAGCAGUGUGUCCUUAAACAGAUCAUUUCAUAUCUCAUUGGCAAAACUAGUGUUGAAAUAAGUUAUAUUGAAAGUUCUUUUCAGCUGCUAGGAAAUUCAACUCCCAAUUCCACUCCUUAUUUUAGAAUGAAACUACAAAAGGAAAAAGAGAAGUUUACUAUGAAGUAGUAGAGGCGAUAGUCCAACGUAUCAACAGACUGUUUGAUCUUGGUACAUUAUUUUCCCUAACACAUUUUAUCUCUUGACAUUUAUUAUUACUGACUUGUAAGGUUGAGAGAAUAAUAUUACUGGCCCCAACCUUCCUCAAAAAGCUAAGUAGAUGCAAUUCCUAUGACAAUACUUGAAACCCUUUCAAGGAAAUGUAAUAUAUAACUCUGAGGUGUAAUUUUUAGCAGGUACCCUAGUAACAAAUAUUAAACUUAAUGUAAUCCAUUUCAUUUUGUGGCUGAGUACUUUUCUAAAUUGCUUCAAUAUGAGUCAACAUUGUAAUUUUCAGUGUAGCUGAGAAAAAUAAAACAUUUUGGUUGGAAUUUCUUCCAUGAGCAGAUGCAUUAAUUGGAAUAACAAAGGUUGUUUGCUUUGCUGUAUAAACAUUAUGGAUCUGACAGCAUUUUUAGAAACUUGCUUUCAUGUAUGUGUUGACAGCUUGUCUGAAAAAAGCUCAAACACACUUUUAGAUCAGUUAAAUCAAUUAUUUCCCUCCUGGCAUGGAUUCAGUGCCUAUCUAUACUGAAUACUUUAAAACUGGCGAGGCUGAAUAAGGAGACACCAAUGUCACCUUGAAUUGAUUAUCCACUUUGUUAUGGCUGUGCUUUGGAAUUAAAGCAAACCUUGACAAAACGAUACAGUAUACAUAUUAUUUGAAGUCUUUUAUAAUCCACUUUUAAUGACCUUAAGUGGGUGUUAAUGCUUUGGCUCGAAGGCUCAAUCCUGUUAACGGUAACUACAAAGCUUUGACAUGAUUAAUUAGUGUAAACUUAAGAUCAAUUAGGUAAUUUCAAAAUUCCCAAAUGCUCUGUAAGUGAUAAAAAGUUCACCCUCUAAUAAAAACCUUUAAGAAAUAAA
Molecule: long non-coding RNA, 4365 nt
Organism: Canis lupus familiaris (dog)
Lineage: Eukaryota; Metazoa; Chordata; Mammalia; Carnivora; Canidae
Exons: 2
Source: RefSeq, a predicted model, not a curated record